This 69-nucleotide transfer RNA is filed under the name Aplastodiscus sibilatus. Its description in RNAcentral is "tRNA-Val". It matches the Rfam family "tRNA". Rfam says of the family: Transfer RNA (tRNA) molecules are approximately 80 nucleotides in length. Their secondary structure includes four short double-helical elements and three loops (D, anti-codon, and T loops). Lineage: Eukaryota; Metazoa; Chordata; Amphibia; Anura; Hylidae. The record is from RNAcentral.
CAAAAUAUAGCCUAGCUAAAGCACCUCGCUUACACCGAGAUGACACCCGAUAAACCCGGGUUAUUUUGA